Mustela lutreola (European mink) is the source of this 1665-nucleotide long non-coding RNA. RefSeq lists it as uncharacterized. The transcript has 3 exons. NCBI's taxonomy places the organism in Eukaryota, Metazoa, Chordata, Mammalia, Carnivora, Mustelidae. The record is from RefSeq and is a predicted model, not a curated record.
ACUGUGCAGGGGGAAACACCAGCAGGCAGAGAUAUGAUCUGUCCCAGCUGGAGUUAUUUGGCACGAGGCGCGGCAAGACGGGCUGGAACACUGCAGACAGGCACAGAGCCCCCUGUCACAGGCGGUAAUCAAGAAAGGACGGGCCUCUGAGGGUAUCCUGAGCCAUCUCAGCCAUCCUGACCACUGCCACAGACAUACCGCAGCUUCCACUCCAGGAUGAGUUUGUGCCCAGAAGGUCAUCAAGUCAAGGGAAACCACAGCCCUCAGGCUAUGGCUCAAGGGGGAAGACCGAGGCUCAGAGCGGCCCGUGACCUGCUGGGCUCACACAGUGGAAUGGGGAGCCAGCCGGGAGCCAGGCAUCUCUCCCCCAGCCCACAGCCCUGAGGCUUGCAGAGGAAGCAGCUCUCCAAGGCCGGGCGGAGCCGGUGGGAAAGAACAUGGAAUGUGCCGGAACAAGCCACCUCAUCCAUCACUGUCCCUGUCUGCCUGUGGUUCCCAGCCCGCCCAGCUUGGCUGAGAACUGGCCACAGCCCAGAGCUCCCAGCCCUGGGGUUCUAGAACCUUCUUCUGCCCGCCUCCAGUCUGCAAAGCGGCCAGAAAUAAUAAGGUCCUGCUUUGAUCAUGUAGGGUCUGACCUACUGGUACCUCUACUGACCCUUGCAAAGGCCGUGGGAAAGUAGGAAGCUGAGCAGGUCACCCGCAUCGGGCCCUUUGCACAGGGAGGGGUGGGCACCGACGGUAGGUCAGGAAGCCCCGGUGAUAAAGCCCUGACUGUGUGCUGGGCCUGUGCCAAGGCCUCCUGCGAUUCAGCUCAGCUCACCCGGCAACAAGCCUGCGAGGCAGGCAUAGGAGGAAACCCAGACUCGAACCCAGGCCAUCUGGCCCCAGGAGGCACACUCUCUGUGGGGCUUUAGGGUGCUGGGGCCCUGCUCCGGGGUCUGCUGUCCUAGGAUGGACACAGCCCCACCCCAGACCCCUCUCCUGGAGCGGACAAGCAAGCAGGCAGGGGUUCCUGAGGCCUGCGGGAGGCUGGGGGCCCCCAAUUUUCUGAGCCCCCGCUGCAUCCCCAGGAGGACAGGGCCUAGCCUCAGAAGCACCAGAGCAGAAGGCUCCUGGGGCUGCUGGCGGGCAGGGGUCUGGGAGUGCAGAGCCGGGGUCCUGCCCUCCUCUGUAAAGGGCAGAACACGGGGCUAGAGCAAGGGGUCUGGACACCACGCUGCCCUCAGCCUCCGUGUCCACACCUGUACAUGGGGGUGGGGAGUGAGCACAAAGCGUGCACAGGGACCACUGAGUAUCGCUGAGGCCAAGAAGACCACGUCCCCAAUGGGGCCUGACUGGGCUCCUGGCUGUCACCCAGUCGUCAUAGCUUCCUUACAGGAACACAAGGAGGAGAAAGCCCCCUCGAGGUCGCGGGCCAAGGCCAGUCUCCCUGGGUGCGCCACACCCCUGUGACACAGUGAGCCUGUCUGCCUGUCUUCCCUAUCCUCCAAGAGGGGAGGGAGCACGGGGCAGAGCCAGGAGCAGGGUCUGUCUCUGAAUUCCCAGCUUCUGCCCUCAGCCGGCUAGCAGGCCAACAUUGUAACACCCCAGCCAAGGUAAACCCAUGCACUUGGCUUUCUCGGGAACCAGAGGGGAAAGCUGGUCCUUCUAAGACAUAUUUCCUAA